AGAUUGAACGCUGGCGGCAGGCCUAACACAUGCAAGUCGAGCGGUAGAGAGGUGCUUGCACCUCUUGAGAGCGGCGGACGGGUGAGUAAUGCCUAGGAAUCUGCCUAGUGGUGGGGGAUAACGUUCGGAACGGACGCUAAUACCGCAUACGUCCUACGGGAGAAAGCGGGGGACCUUCGGCCUCGCGCCAUUAGAUGAGCCUAGGUCGGAUUAGCUAGUUGGUGAGGUAAUGGCUCACCAAGGCGACGAUCCGUAACUGGUCUGAGAGGAUGAUCAGUCACACUGGAACUGAGUACGACGGUCCAGACUCCUACGGGAGCAGCAAGUGGGGAAUAGUUGGACAAGUGGGACGAAAGCCUGAUCCAGCCAUGCCGCGUGUGUGAAGAGUCGUGAUUGACAAG
RNAcentral lists this ribosomal RNA (401 nucleotides) under uncultured soil bacterium. Its description in RNAcentral is "bacterial SSU rRNA". It matches the Rfam family "Bacterial small subunit ribosomal RNA", at positions 26 to 425 of the family's 1533-position model. The record is from RNAcentral.